RNAcentral lists this ribosomal RNA (524 nucleotides) under Nitops craigheadi. Its description in RNAcentral is "partial large subunit ribosomal RNA". The record is from RNAcentral. Lineage: Eukaryota; Metazoa; Arthropoda; Insecta; Coleoptera; Nitidulidae.
UUUAUCAAAAACAUGGCCUUUUGUUAUUAUUUAAGGUCUAACCUGCCCAAUGAGGAUUUAAAUGGCCGCGGUAUUUUKACCGUGCAAAGGUAGCAUAAUCAUUAGUUUUUUAAUUGAAAGCUGGAAUGAAAGGUUGAAUGAAAAAAUAGCUGUCUCUUGGAAAUUUUAUUAGAACUUUAUUUUUAAGUYAAAAAGCUUAAAUAAUGCUUAAAGACGAGAAGACCCUUUAGAGUUUUAUAUAAACAAUAAUUUAAAUUUUUAGUAUUUAUUAUUUAAAUUAAAAAUUUAUAUUUGAUUGGGGUGAUUGGAAAAUUUAAUAAACUUUUCUUUUUAUAUCCAUUGAUUUAUGAAUAUAUGAUCCAUUUUUUAUGAUUAAAAGAAUAAAUUACCUAAGGGAUAACAGCGUUAUCUUUUUUGAGAGUUCUAAUCGAAAAAAAGGAUUGCGACCUCGAUGUUGGAUUAAAAUUAAAUUAUGGUGUAGCAGUUAUAACUUUAGGUCUGUUCGACCUUUAAAAUUUUACAWA